CCUUCGGGUUGUAAAGCUCUGUCGAGUGGGACGAAAAAUUAUUAGGUGAAUAGCCUGGUAAUCUGACGGUACCGCUAAAGGAAGCACCGGCUAACUCCGUGC
RNAcentral lists this ribosomal RNA (102 nucleotides) under uncultured bacterium. RNAcentral's name for it is "partial 16S ribosomal RNA". The record is from RNAcentral.